Molecule: ribosomal RNA, 488 nt
Filed under: Luzaridella clara
Lineage: Eukaryota; Metazoa; Arthropoda; Insecta; Orthoptera; Phalangopsidae
Description: partial 16S ribosomal RNA
Rfam family: Bacterial large subunit ribosomal RNA
Source: RNAcentral
CUUCUUGAAUUAAUUGGAAGUCGUGCCUGCCCACUGAAUGAUUUUGAAGGGCCGCGGUAUUUUGACCGUGCAAAGGUAGCAUAAUCAUUAGUCUUUUAAUUGAAGGCUGGGAUGAAUGGUUUGACGAAACAAUAACUGUCUUUUGAGUAUAAUUUGAAGUUUACUUUUAAGUUAAAAGGCUUAAAUAUUAACUGGGGACGAGAAGACCCUAUAGAUCUUUAUUUAUUUUAUAUUAUUUCUUUUUUAGUUGUUUUAUUAUUUAUUAUUAAAUGAAUUUUAUUGGGGUGAUAUGAGAAUAUGAAAAACUUCUUAUUAUAAAGACUUUGAUGUUUGGAUAUUAGGAUCCUUUAUUAUGGAUUUAAGAUUAAGAUACCUUAGGGAUAACAGCGUAAUUUUAUUUGAGAGUUCUUAUCGACAAUAAAGAUUGCGACCUCGAUGUUGGAUUAAGUUUAUAGGUUGGUGUAGAAGCUAACUUUAUUAGUCUGUUC